Molecule: ribosomal RNA, 3013 nt
Filed under: Salmonella enterica subsp. enterica serovar Indiana
Lineage: Bacteria; Pseudomonadati; Pseudomonadota; Gammaproteobacteria; Enterobacterales; Enterobacteriaceae
Description: 23S ribosomal RNA
Rfam family: Bacterial large subunit ribosomal RNA
Source: RNAcentral
GGGUUGUGAGGUUAAGCGACUAAGCGUACACGGUGGAUGCCCUGGCAGUCAGAGGCGAUGAAGGACGUGCUAAUCUGCGAUAAGCGCCGGUAAGGUGAUAUGAACCGUUAUAACCGGCGAUUUCCGAAUGGGGAAACCCAGUGUGACUCGUCACACUAUCAUUAACUGAAUCCAUAGGUUAAUGAGGCGAACCGGGGGAACUGAAACAUCUAAGUACCCCGAGGAAAAGAAAUCAACCGAGAUUCCCCCAGUAGCGGCGAGCGAACGGGGAGGAGCCCAGAGCCUGAAUCAGCAUGUGUGUUAGUGGAAGCGUCUGGAAAGGCGCGCGAUACAGGGUGACAGCCCCGUACACAAAAGCGCAUGUGCUGUGAGCUCGAUGAGUAGGGCGGGACACGUGGUAUCCUGUCUGAAUAUGGGGGGACCAUCCUCCAAGGCUAAAUACUCCUGACUGACCGAUAGUGAACCAGUACCGUGAGGGAAAGGCGAAAAGAACCCCGGCGAGGGGAGUGAAAAAGAACCUGAAACCGUGUACGUACAAGCAGUGGGAGCACAGGUUUACCUGUGUGACUGCGUACCUUUUGUAUAAUGGGUCAGCGACUUAUAUUCUGUAGCAAGGUUAACCGCAUAGGGGAGCCGCAGGGAAACCGAGUCUUAACCGGGCGUUAAGUUGCAGGGUAUAGACCCGAAACCCGGUGAUCUAGCCAUGGGCAGGUUGAAGGUUGGGUAACACUAACUGGAGGACCGAACCGACUAAUGUUGAAAAAUUAGCGGAUGACCUGUGGCUGGGGGUGAAAGGCCAAUCAAACCGGGAGAUAGCUGGUUCUCCCCGAAAGCUAUUUAGGUAGCGCCUCGUGAAUUCAUCUCCGGGGGUAGAGCACUGUUUCGGCUAGGGGGCCAUCCCGGCUUACCAACCCGAUGCAAACUGCGAAUACCGGAGAAUGUUAUCACGGGAGACACACGGCGGGUGCUAACGUCCGUCGUGAAGAGGGAAACAACCCAGACCGCCAGCUAAGGUCCCAAAGUCAUGGUUAAGUGGGAAACGAUGUGGGAAGGCCCAGACAGCCAGGAUGUUGGCUUAGAAGCAGCCAUCAUUUAAAGAAAGCGUAAUAGCUCACUGGUCGAGUCGGCCUGCGCGGAAGAUGUAACGGGGCUAAACCAUGCACCGAAGCUGCGGCAGCGAACGUAUCACCCAAGACAACUUUGCGGAGUUGACGAUUGACGGAGCGAAGCGACGUCAAAGCGUUCAUUAAAGUCGAGUUGGCUUAGGGAUACGUUCGUUGGGUAGGGGAGCGUUCUGUAAGCCUGUGAAGGUAUGCUGUGAGGCAUGCUGGAGGUAUCAGAAGUGCGAAUGCUGACAUAAGUAACGAUAAAGCGGGUGAAAAGCCCGCUCGCCGGAAGACCAAGGGUUCCUGUCCAACGUUAAUCGGGGCAGGGUGAGUCGACCCCUAAGGCGAGGCCGAAAGGCGUAGUCGAUGGGAAACGGGUUAAUAUUCCCGUACUUGGUGUUACUGCGAAGGGGGGACGGAGAAGGCUAUGUUGGCCGGGCGACGGUUGUCCCGGUUUAAGCGUGUAGGUGUGUGUUCCAGGUAAAUCCGGUUCACUUUAACACUGAGGCGUGACGACGAGGCACUACGGUGCUGAAGCAACAAAUGCCCUGCUUCCAGGAAAAGCCUCUAAGCAUCAGGUAACAUCAAAUCGUACCCCAAACCGACACAGGUGGUCAGGUAGAGAAUACCAAGGCGCUUGAGAGAACUCGGGUGAAGGAACUAGGCAAAAUGGUGCCGUAACUUCGGGAGAAGGCACGCUGACAUGUAGGUGAAGUGAUUUACUCAUGGAGCUGAAGUCAGUCGAAGAUACCAGCUGGCUGCAACUGUUUAUUAAAAACACAGCACUGUGCAAACACGAAAGUGGACGUAUACGGUGUGACGCCUGCCCGGUGCCGGAAGGUUAAUUGAUGGGGUCAGCGCAAGCGAAGCUCCUGAUCGAAGCCCCGGUAAACGGCGGCCGUAACUAUAACGGUCCUAAGGUAGCGAAAUUCCUUGUCGGGUAAGUUCCGACCUGCACGAAUGGCGUAAUGAUGGCCAGGCUGUCUCCACCCGAGACUCAGUGAAAUUGAACUCGCUGUGAAGAUGCAGUGUACCCGCGGCAAGACGGAAAGACCCCGUGAACCUUUACUAUAGCUUGACACUGAACAUUGAGCCUUGAUGUGUAGGAUAGGUGGGAGGCUUUGAAGCGUGGACGCCAGUCUGCAUGGAGCCGACCUUGAAAUACCACCCUUUAAUGUUUGAUGUUCUAACGUGGACCCGUAAUCCGGGUUGCGGACAGUGUCUGGUGGGUAGUUUGACUGGGGCGGUCUCCUCCUAAAGAGUAACGGAGGAGCACGAAGGUUGGCUAAUCCUGGUCGGACAUCAGGAGGUUAGUGCAAUGGCAUAAGCCAGCUUGACUGCGAGCGUGACGGCGCGAGCAGGUGCGAAAGCAGGUCAUAGUGAUCCGGUGGUUCUGAAUGGAAGGGCCAUCGCUCAACGGAUAAAAGGUACUCCGGGGAUAACAGGCUGAUACCGCCCAAGAGUUCAUAUCGACGGCGGUGUUUGGCACCUCGAUGUCGGCUCAUCACAUCCUGGGGCUGAAGUAGGUCCCAAGGGUAUGGCUGUUCGCCAUUUAAAGUGGUACGCGAGCUGGGUUUAGAACGUCGUGAGACAGUUCGGUCCCUAUCUGCCGUGGGCGCUGGAGAACUGAGGGGGGCUGCUCCUAGUACGAGAGGACCGGAGUGGACGCAUCACUGGUGUUCGGGUUGUCAUGCCAAUGGCACUGCCCGGUAGCUAAAUGCGGAAGAGAUAAGUGCUGAAAGCAUCUAAGCACGAAACUUGCCCCGAGAUGAGUUCUCCCUGAGACUUUAGGUCUCCUGAAGGAACGUUGAAGACGACGACGUUGAUAGGCCGGGUGUGUAAGCGCAGCGAUGCGUUGAGCUAACCGGUACUAAUGAACCGUGAGGCUUAACCUUACAACGCCGAAG